GGUCCUGUAGCUCAGCUGGAUAGAGCAUCGGUUUCCUAAACCGUGUGUCGUGGGUUCAAAUCUCACCAGGAUCA
Molecule: non-coding RNA, 74 nt
Organism: Lactobacillus amylolyticus DSM 11664
Lineage: Bacteria; Bacillati; Bacillota; Bacilli; Lactobacillales; Lactobacillaceae
Source: Rfam